GACGAACGCUGGCGGCGUGCUUAACACAUGCAAGUCGAGCGGUAAGGCCCUUUCGGGGGUACACGAGCGGCGAACGGGUGAGUAACACGUGGGUGACCUGCCCUUAGCUCUGGGAUAAGCCUGGGAAACUGGGUCUAAUACCGGAUAUGACUCCAUAACGCAUGUUGUGGGGUGGAAAGCCUUGUGCGGCUAGGGAUGGGCCCGCGGCCUAUCAGCUUGUUGGUGGGGUGAUGGCCUACCAAGGCGACGACGGGUAGCCGGCCUGAGAGGGCGACCGGCCACACUGGGACUGAGACACGGCCCAGACUCCUACGUGAGGCAGCAGUGGGGAAUCUUGCGCAAUGGGCGAAAGCCUGACGCAGCGACGCCGCGUUGGGAUGACGCCU
RNAcentral lists this ribosomal RNA (386 nucleotides) under uncultured bacterium. RNAcentral's name for it is "bacterial SSU rRNA". It matches the Rfam family "Bacterial small subunit ribosomal RNA", at positions 28 to 416 of the family's 1533-position model. The record is from RNAcentral.